RNAcentral lists this transfer RNA (57 nucleotides) under Ophidascaris sp. CYZ-2020. RNAcentral's name for it is "tRNA-Phe". Lineage: Eukaryota; Metazoa; Nematoda; Chromadorea; Rhabditida; Anisakidae. The record is from RNAcentral.
ACCUUUGUAGUUUAUGUUAAAAUGCGACUUUGAAGAGGUUGAGAAAUUUUUGAGGUG